GUGCUCACUUCAGUAGCACAUAUACUAGAAUCAGAAUGAUACAGAGAAGAUUGGCAUGGCCCCUGCUCAAGGAUGACGUGCAAAUUGGUGAACCAUUCCAUAUUUUA
Molecule: small nuclear RNA, 107 nt
Organism: Ailuropoda melanoleuca (giant panda)
Lineage: Eukaryota; Metazoa; Chordata; Mammalia; Carnivora; Ursidae
Source: Ensembl